GAAGGUAAAUAGGUAUGUGUUUUAUAUGUGAAUCAUUAUAAACAUUUUGUGAGUGUCACAAAUAUGUAUAAACUCCUAUAACAACUUCAAGAAGUGAAUCCAGCUCAUCUUAAUUCUUUAAGGAGGAGUUUAUGCAAAUCUGACAUUUCCAGUUUCUUCUUAUAUGAAUCAAAGUUCAGUGAUUCAAUCUGACAAAGAAGCUGCAGACAGAACAAAGACAAAUGACUCCAACAAUGAUCAGACCUGUUUGUUUGCUGCUUUUUCUCUUUUCCUUUGGUGUCUUACCUGGUAUCAGGGGUCAAACACUGACUGAGUCUGAAUCAGCGGUUAAAAGACCUGGAGAAUCCCACAAACUGACUUGUACAUAUUCAGGGUUUAGUGGUGAUCAGCAUGUAGCUUGGAUCAGACAGGCUGAAGGAAAAGGACUGGAAUGGAUUGCUUGGAUCCACGCCAGUAGUAGCAGCAGCAUUUACUACUCAGAGUCAGUGAAAAACCGCUUCACCAUCUCCAGAGACAACAGCAGAAAGCAGGUGUAUCUGCAGAUGAACAGUCUGAGAGCUGAGGAUUCUGCUGUUUAUUACUGCGCUCGAGA
This is a non-coding RNA of Oryzias melastigma (Indian medaka), 592 nucleotides long. NCBI's taxonomy places the organism in Eukaryota, Metazoa, Chordata, Actinopteri, Beloniformes, Adrianichthyidae. The record is from the annotation of a RefSeq genome assembly.